Molecule: ribosomal RNA, 472 nt
Filed under: uncultured organism
Description: partial 16S ribosomal RNA
Rfam family: Bacterial small subunit ribosomal RNA
Source: RNAcentral
ACACUCCUACGGGAGGCAGCAGUGGGGAAUAUUGCACAAUGGGCGCAAGCCUGAUGCAGCCAUGCCGCGUGUAUGAAGAAGGCCUUCGGGUUGUAAAGUACUUUCAGCGGGGAGGAAGGCGAUAAGGUUAAUAACCUUGUUGAUUGACGUUACCCGCAGAAGAAGCACCGGCUAACUCCGUGCCAGCAGCCGCGGUAAUACGGAGGGUGCAAGCGUUAAUCGGAAUUACUGGGCGUAAAGCGCACGCAGGCGGUCUGUCAAGUCGGAUGUGAAAUCCCCGGGCUCAACCUGGGAACUGCAUUCGAAACUGGCAGGCUAGAGUCUUGUAGAGGGGGGUAGAAUUCCAGGUGUAGCGGUGAAAUGCGUAGAGAUCUGGAGGAAUACCGGUGGCGAAGGCGGCCCCCUGGACAAAGACUGACGCUCAGGUGCGAAAGCGUGGGGAGCAAACAGGAUUAGAUACCCCAGUAGUCCC